Molecule: ribosomal RNA, 650 nt
Filed under: uncultured bacterium
Lineage: Bacteria
Description: bacterial SSU rRNA
Rfam family: Bacterial small subunit ribosomal RNA
Source: RNAcentral
ACGGGGGCAACCCUGGUGGCGAGUGGCGAACGGGUGAGUAAUAUAUCGGAACAUAUCCGGAAGUGGGGGAUAACGUACCGAAAGGUACGCUAAUACCGCAUAUGCCCUGAGGGGGAAAGGAGGGGAUCGCAAGACCUUUCGCUUUCGGAGUGGCCGAUAUCGGAUUAGCUAGUUGGUGAGGUAAAGGCUCACCAAGGCGACGAUCCGUAGCUGGUCUGAGAGGACGACCAGCCACACUGGAACUGAGACACGGUCCAGACUCCUACGGGAGGCAGCAGUGGGGAAUUUUGGACAAUGGGGGCAACCCUGAUCCAGCCAUGCCGCGUGAGUGAAGAAGGCCUUCGGGUUGUAAAGCUCUUUCAGACGGAAAGAAACGGUUACGGUUAAUACCCGUGACUAAUGACGGUACCGUCAGAAGAAGCACCGGCUAACUACGUGCCAGCAGCCGCGGUAAUACGUAGGGUGCGAGCGUUAAUCGGAAUUACUGGGCGUAAAGCGUGCGCAGGCGGUUUUGUAAGACAGACGUGAAAUCCCCGGGCUUAACCUGGGAACUGCGUUUGUGACUGCAAGACUAGAGUGCGGCAGAGGGGGGUAGAAUUCCACGUGUAGCAGUGAAAUGCGUAGAUAUGUGGAGGAAUACCGAUGGCGAA